ACUGCCUGCAAUCCCUACAUCCGCAGCCCUGACGCUCAUGAAUACUGAGGGAUUUGAGCCGUGACGAUGGCGGAGGAGCAGGAGGAGGCGGAGUCAAGGGGAGGGGAAUAAUUCAGCCAGUUGCCGUAGGGAUGCGCGCAGGCUCACUAAGUAGGGCUGCCGCUUAUUGACUCAAACGCCGCGGCCGCUGCUUCUGCAAGCUGACAAACCAGGGAGCGCUGAGCUCGGCGCUGAGUGGAGACCGGGGAGCGAGAAGAGGGUUGACGAACAGAUCCGCCAUUGUCUCUUCUGUCCUCCCCCAGCCCUCCCCACCCGCCAGCCUCCUCGCAGCGGCUCCGCGGACGGGUGAUGCCCGUGACUGGCGUCGUUUCGCCAGCGCUGGGAUUUUUUUGCUUGGCCGAUGAAGGUGGCGUAGCUUGGAUCCGCAUCUUCUACUAGGAGGGGCUACAGCCACAAAGCCAGGAGCUCGCUCGACUGCUUGCAGGAGUGACACACCGUUUCCCUGAACCGUUCUGUGCCCGAACCGCCUCUCCCGCCAGAACCACCAUAUGAUACCCAGACACACCUGAUGUUCUCUCAGCGAAUAUAUCCCCUCAAAGUUUUGUCUCUACGUUGCGCAAACAAGAUGGAGGCCCCGCUCGUUUGUCUAGAUGAGGAGUUCGAGGACCUGCGGCCCUGCAGGGUGGAGGACCUGGAGCAGACACCCAGGCGUCCCUAUGGGACUGUCCCCAUAGCCCGGGAGGACUUCUCCGAGUUGGAGAACUUCUCUGAGAUGAUGAGCUUCAAGUCCAUGGAAGACCUCGUCAACGAGUUUGACGAGAAGCUCAACGUGUGCUUCCACAACUACAACACCAAGACGGAGGGCCUGGCCCCCGUGCGCAACCAUUCCCACACGGAGGAGGACGAAGAGAGACUACAGGACGAAGAUGUGUGGGACGCGCUGACCGACAACUACCUGCCGUCCUCUGGUUCCAGCUGGGAUGACCCCAACUCGGAGGGCCUGAACGGAAACCUGUCCGACCAGGAGAUCCAUGAAAAAGAGGAAGAGGAGAUGAACGAGAAGAACGACAACAUGAGUUGUCUUAGCGAGGAACCGCUCAUCACGGCAGACCAGUGUCUUGUCAGCAAGUCUGAGCCGCGAUACCGCUGCCCCGCACAGGUGAUAGAGGAGAUUGUGGAGAUGAUGGAGAACUCCCCAGACCCGGGGGAGACGGAAGAAGAGGAGGAGGAUGAGGCUGGAGACUCGGGGACCCCGUCCAACCCGUCCCUGCUAGAGGAGAUCCGAGUGCUGUCCAAGGCCUCCAACAAUAACUGCUCCUACGAAGGCCUGAGCCUUAUGCCGAGCUCAGCGCUGUUGGAGUUGCUGUGUCGCGUGGAGGCAGCCAUCCGCCAGUACUCUGAGGAGCUGGUGACCCAGCUGGCCCGCCGCGAUGAGCUCGAGUUUGAGAAGGAGGUGAAGAACAGCUUCAUCACGGCGCUCAUGGAGGUGCAGAACCGGCAGAAGGAGCAGCGGGAAGUGGGCAAGCGCCGGCGCCGGGACAAAGGCCUGAGCCUGCAGGGGACGGGCCGCACGGAGAAGGCUGGCUCCAUGCCCCUGAAGCGCUUCAGCAUGGAGGGGCUCUCCAACAUCCUGCAGACUGGGAUCCGACAGACCUUUGGCAACUCAGGAACAGACAAACAGUAUCUGAACACAGUGAUCCCCUAUGAGAAGAAGGGCACCCCUCCCACGGUGGAGGACCUUCAGAUGCUGACGAGAAGUAGGUUCCCAGCGUUCUUUAUGCAAUGAAGGAGGACAGUGAGAAGGUGCCAACCCUGCUAACGGACUACAUUUUGAAAGUCCUGUGUCCUACCUAAAGGUGCCCUUUAGUGUGCGCAAGACGUGAGGAGGCCGUCCGUCCCGAGUCCCGAGUCCAAGCUGCAUGAACUCCCAUCCAUUAUUAACGGUGGACCACGGCAUCGUAAUCAUCGUCCAUUACCCGUCAUGAGCCAGAACAAAAGUCUGCCUUUGCCGAGAUCAUCUCGUCUGUCCCGCACCCUCUCGAACCCAGGGCUGAGGGAGUGCCGCCGCUGCCUGUUUUUGAUGUCUCCCUGUUCAUGUGACAUGUAUGUAGCCGUUUCAGAGUUCGCUCAGUUCCACACAGUGGGCCAGAGGUGUGGAGGGGUGGGAAUGGGAACACGUUACACACCGACGCAUCAUUCUUCAGAGUGCAGCCACGAAACCUGCCGUGUUUGUCAAAAAAAAAAAGACAACAUACUUUAUUAUCUUUUCUCGUCGUCUGUCUGCUGGCAUCUCCCCUAAGAAAGUCAUACAGCCUGUGUCACAUCUUUGACUCAAUCACAGUAAUGUGACAUCUCAAUGUAGCAAAUCAUGCCAAGGCAUAAAACUGACAUUUAAAGAAAAAGAAAAAAAAACACACCUUUUAUUAUCCUUAGAAAAAAAAAAAAAAACAGCAUACACCAUUACAGUCCCUUUGUUCGUUGUUGUGUUUCUGCACGACCUUCGCACAGGUCUCAUAUUACAGGUAAAAAAGGGUUUUGUCUUCUGACACCUCAGCGAACGCUUGUAAACCCGCACACACUGCACACUGUAUACGAGGACAUAAGCGAUCUAACAUGUUAAAAAGACCUCAGGGUUUCGUCAACACAACAAUAAUUAUUCAGCCAUUUCAUUUAUUUGAUAUUAUGGAAUUCAUGUAAUUUAUUGCAUAUCAUUAAUGUAGCUGCCAUGCAUCUGUCUCUUGAUUAAAAUGAGCAGUUUUUAUCAUUAAUGAAUUAAAGAUGAUCUGUUCCCUGUGA
RNA transcript from Scleropages formosus (Asian bonytongue), 2796 nucleotides. It is a transcript of the gene named fasciculation and elongation protein zeta 1 (zygin I), with no coding region annotated. The transcript is spliced from 11 exons. NCBI's taxonomy places the organism in Eukaryota, Metazoa, Chordata, Actinopteri, Osteoglossiformes, Osteoglossidae. The record is from RefSeq and is a predicted model, not a curated record.